CGCAUCCUUCAGCCGAUCCGAAGACACCAUGCCUCCAGGGAGGAAGGGAAUACGAAGCACAAGGGAACCCCCACCAGAAAUCACUUCUACUGAGUAUGAGAAACAAAGGGCAGCAAAUGUGAUGAGGAACAAUCAGAUGUUCCAACGGCUUGGGAUUAAUCAGUUACGCACAAUGAUGACUGCUACAAGAGUAAAGAGCAAAUAUGAUGGUCCAGAGGAAUCAGGGUCUUUGUUUGACGGCGAGGAUAGUGAAGGCUCUGAGCCAGAGGAGGAUUCCCAUGUUGCACAAGGUGUACGUAGCCACAACCCAACUCAUGUUGCUGACAAACCUACACAACAAACACGAGGUUCUAAAAGGGUUGUGGCCCCUGAUGUUCAUGGACAACAGAUUAGAUUCACUAGGCAAAGGAGUGCUGCCAUAAAUCAACAAUCCUCCCUAAGCCUAACUACUACUACACAAGCUGGUUCAAGAGCCACCACAAACCAAGAAUCCACCCAAAACUUGGCUGCUGCAACACAAUUUACUUCAAGUGUUGCCACUGAGCAAGAUCACACUGUAGGCCUGACUACUGCUGCACAACCUAGUUCUCCCACACAAGCUGAGGUCAAUGACCACAAUAGAGAUGAAGAAUUGGUACUAAGGCAAAGAAGUAGGGGCAAACAACUUGAAUCCUUGAGCAGAGGGUUAGGCACUAAGAUUCCAAUCCAAAUCUCUAAUGGGAAGCGAAG
This 729-nucleotide unclassified non-coding RNA is filed under the name Zea mays. RNAcentral's name for it is "misc RNA Zm00001eb312920". The record is from RNAcentral. Lineage: Eukaryota; Viridiplantae; Streptophyta; Magnoliopsida; Poales; Poaceae.